CAGUAACGGCGAGUGAAGCGGCAACAGCUCAAAUUUGAAAUCUGGCUCCUUCGGGGUCCGAAUUGUAAUUUGUAGAGAGUGCUUCGGGCGAGACCUCGGUCUAAGUCCAUUGGAACAUGGUGUCAUAGAGGGUGAGAAUCCCGUAUGCGACCGUGGCUCGAGCCCAUGUGAAGCCUCUUCGACGAGUCGAGUUGUUUGGGAAUGCAGCUCAAAACGGGUGGUAAAUUUCAUCUAAAGCUAAAUACUGGCUGGAGACCGAUAGCGCACAAGUAGAGUGAUCGAAAGAUGAAAAGCACUUUGGAAAGAGAGUCAAACAGUACGUGAAAUUGUUGAAAGGGAAGCGCUUGCAACCAGACCUGCCCGUAGGCGAUCAGCCGCUGUUCUCAGCGGUGCACUCGCUCUGCGAUCAGGCCAGCAUCGGUUUCGGCGGUCGGAUAAAGGCCUUGGGAAUGUAGCUUCCCUUCGGGGGAGUCUUAUAGCCCUCGGUGUAAUGCGGCCAGCCGAGACCGAGGACCGCGCUUCGGCUAGGAUGCUGGCGUAAUGGUUGUAAGCGACCCGUCUUGAAACACGGACCAAGGAGUCUAACAUCUAUGCGAGUGUUUGGGUGUCAAACCCAUACGCGGAAUGAAAGUGAACGGAGGUGAGAACCCUUAAGGGCGCAUCAUCGACCGAUCCAGAUGUCUUCGGAUGGAUUUGAGUAUGAGCAUAGCUGUUGGGACCCGAAAGAUGGUGAACUAUGCCUGAAUAGGGUGAAGCCAGAGGAAACUCUGGUGGAGGCUCGCAGCGGUUCUGACGUGCAAAUCGAUCGUCAAAUUUGGGUAUAGGGGCGAAAGACUAAUC
Molecule: ribosomal RNA, 840 nt
Filed under: Xanthoparmelia cumberlandia
Lineage: Eukaryota; Fungi; Ascomycota; Lecanoromycetes; Lecanorales; Parmeliaceae
Also listed under: 1 other name
Description: eukaryotic LSU rRNA
Rfam family: Eukaryotic large subunit ribosomal RNA
Source: RNAcentral